Molecule: long non-coding RNA, 763 nt
Organism: Capsicum annuum
Lineage: Eukaryota; Viridiplantae; Streptophyta; Magnoliopsida; Solanales; Solanaceae
Exons: 3
Source: RefSeq, a predicted model, not a curated record
UCUUCAUUAGUUUUCAAUGGAACAAUGUUUCCUUCAUUUCUCUUCUUCCAAUGGAGUUUCUUAACAUGGUAUCAACUUAUCUAUUGUGAUCCGAAUCGAAAGUAGAAUUACGCCAAGCUAUAGAGUCAAAAGUAGUGCAAAAGCUAGAGAAAUUUCUUCAUCAAAAGCUAGGGUUUGAGAUCAAUUUCUCAAAUGUGGUGAAAUUUCUCAAAUCUAUGAUUCAAUUUCAUAUAAUCGAGUUUAAAUCUCACAUUUGCUUGCCUUAAGAGUGUAGAAUUGAGUGAUGAAUAAAGAGUACUAGAUAAUUUCAACCCCUGAAGAAACCAGAAACAACAAUAAUGGAUAUGCAGCUGGAAAUUAUUCAACUGCCCGGGAAGGACAGGUUGUUCCAAAUUAUCCUCUGUAUACCCGUCUGAUAUUCAAGAUUUUAAUUAUUUGAAGACUUUACGAAAGGACUAGACCCUUGCAAAUCAGCUUGCAUUUGGAUUCUUUGGUUGAGAAAGUGUUCCAGAGGCUCAGACACGGCCUCACCUCUAGCGUUUGAUAGAAGAUCUCGAUUCAAGGAUGAACACUUCAUCUCCAGGAUGCCAUGGAUCAUAUCCUAUUAGUAUUGUUCAUCUUUCGGGCAAUGACACACUUUUUAUUAUUCUUUAUUUUGGAUAUAUCUUUAGACAUGAUCUUUGGUCUAGAAGUUCUUGUACGAUGACUUUCGGGUCUUGGCGAUUUCAGUAAGUAGUUUGUUUGAUUUCAGCAUUACUAAUGA